UUACGAAUGGGAUGAAUCUGGUUAAACUAAAGGUUAAACUCAAACAAAAUAAUAUGGUUGUGGCUGCUAAAAACCACACACCAGAGUAUACUGACACUGUUUUUGUAGAGCAGCAGAACAGUCAUAUCAACCAACUCCUGUUUGAUGUGAGAAAGACCAAAUUGAGGCUCAGUCUCCUCCCUUUCCUUCCCUCUCACAUGCUCAUUUUCUCGCUUCUAUUUUACUGGAUUUAGGUUACAAUGUGAGCAGACAAAAAGGCUCAUUUGAUGCCAGUGCAGACACAGACAGCAUUUCCAGUGUUUGUGGGGGAGCAAAACUAAUCAUGGGUUUGGUAACCACAACUGCCUGGGCCUGAGUGCAAGCACCACCCCUCUGGCAGCAACGACAAGCAUUGACCCGACGGUUGGCAGGAGGAGCUCUGUUGUUGACAGGGAUCUAGUCUCAGAUCUCUCAUUAAGACCAGUCAUGCCUGAGAUUAGAUAAACAGCAAGCACAGACAGUACAUCCUGGUAACAGCAUUACUCUAACCCUAACACUGUGAAGGAGCUCCCCUAUUGGUAAAAACAUGAAAUCAACUACGGUUCAUCAUAAAAACUCUUACGUCCCUAAACUCGCGCUUCAAAGCUAAUAUCCACAUUUCAUGUUUGUCUUAUAAUUCCAAACAGGAGCACACAUCAAAAAUACAUGCAUUGGAAAAGAUUUGGUUUAAUGAUUUGUGCUUUGUGCAAGGUCAUUAUCAGUCCUGAAAGCAGGAUGCGUAUUGUUUCAGUGUGCGUUUGAGCUCUUGCCUUGCUCUUUUCAUUGGGCAGUGCAGAGUACAACUGGCUGACAAGGAGAUUGGGUGACAUGAAGUGUUUGGUGGCCUGCUGGCCCCGUGAGAAGGCGAAGGAGGGGGGUCAGUGGUGUAGUCUCCUCCCCUGUGAUUCAUCUAUGUGAUCUUGCAGAGGAUUUCACUGCUCAUCUGUGCCCUGUCUUAAAUCUGAGCCUCCUCUACUGAGCCAUGCAGGCUGACAGCAUCAUCAUCUCCUUCCAGCAUCAACUCUGUCUCUGGGUUCUGGUUGGCCAUGGCUUGGCUGCGGAAGGCUUUCCUGGAUUUGACCACCUCAUCCUCCUCCGUGCCUGGGAAAAGUGGGGAAGAGGGUAGAGCCAAACCACUGAAUACCUCACUCUGAAGUUUGGAUGUGGUAUUCUGGUGUUUGACUGGGACCUGUGAUAUUCGAGACCAUGUGGUCAGUGUGAAGCCGGAUUUGGACCGUGCCAAUGUGCCGUACUGAAGGAACUUCUUCUCUGAGGGUGGUCCAGAGGGAGGACUGCACUCCCAAAGAAGAUCCAGAGCUGGGGGCUACUGAGCUCAUACACGUAGCUACAAAGCAACUUCUCGGGUGGCAUCCGGCUACCAAGCAGCACGGCCAUAUCCAAAGUGAUGAUAAAGAAUAAUAAAAACGUUUGUA
Molecule: long non-coding RNA, 1451 nt
Organism: Myripristis murdjan (pinecone soldierfish)
Lineage: Eukaryota; Metazoa; Chordata; Actinopteri; Holocentriformes; Holocentridae
Exons: 3
Source: RefSeq, a predicted model, not a curated record